Molecule: RNA transcript, 230 nt
Organism: Dermacentor albipictus
Lineage: Eukaryota; Metazoa; Arthropoda; Arachnida; Ixodida; Ixodidae
Source: RefSeq, a predicted model, not a curated record
AGACAAGUGAAGUGAACAUGGCCCGAACAUUUCUGAUCAAUCACGAGGUGCUAAUGGAAGAAAUCGGUAGAAACGGACGUGCUGAGCGGGCGUCUCCCACGUAGAGUCCAACAGGGAGUACCUGGCAGCCGCUUCGCGGGCCUGGUGAACCGCCCAUUGCUGGUCGAUGCCGCAACAAUGGUAAUGUGUGCAGAAAAUGAAGAAACGUAGGAGCGAAUUCUCUCUAUGGU